CCUGACUCAGCCGCAGACAUUAGUGCUAGGAAGAUGGCGCACCCGGCGAUGUUUCCUAGAAGGGGCAGCAGCAGUAGCAGCGGCAGCAGCUGCGUUACUGCUCCCACUGCACCAGGUACCGGCGUUGGGAGCGCUGCCCUCUCCGCCGAGGAUUAUCAGCCGCCUUUGCUGGUCCAGCCACCACCUCCAUCUCCUGCAUCAGCUUCAACAGCGGGUCCACAGCCGACACCCCCUCAUCCACAAAGCCUGAACCUCCUCUCGCAGUCUCAGCUCCAGCCACAGCCCCUUGCGCAGGCUGGAGCUCAAAUGAAAAAGAAAAGUGGCUUUCAAAUUACCAGUGUCACCCCUGCUCAAAUAUCAGCUAGUAUGAGCUCUAAUAACAGCAUAGCUGAGGAUACAGAAAGCUACGAUGACCUCGAUGAGUCUCACACUGAAGACCUGUCAUCUUCAGAAAUCUUGGACGUGUCUUUAUCCAGAGCCACUGACUUGGGAGAACCUGAGAGGAGUUCUUCUGAAGAGACUCUAAAUAACUUCCAAGAGGCAGAGACUCCUGGGGCUGUUUCUCCAAACCAGCCUCAUCUUCCUCAGCAGCAUGCUCCUCUGCCUCAUCACCCGCAGCAGAGUGUUGUGAUCAAUGGAAGUGUUCAUCCCCAUCAUGUUCAUCAUCACCACCAUCUUCACCACCACCAUCAUGGACACCAUCAUCCAUCGCAUCCUGGGGUGGGUAGUGCCCCAGUUUCUGGAGGACCACCUCCCAGUCCAUCGUUUAGAAAACUAUCAACAACUGGAAGCUCUGACAAUGUUAUACCAACUGCACCAGUUUCUGCUGCAUCAUCCACUGGUUCCCUGGCAUCUGCCGUGUCUAAUAUCCGCACUACGAGUACUCCUGGCAAUUUAGGUAUAAGUCCUGCUACUGGAACUAGUACCUUAAAUAAUAUUGGUGGUGGUAGUUCUAGUGUGGCAAGUAACGUGCUUGGUACUAUAAAUUUAAGCAACAUCACGAGUACUGGUAAUGUAAAUGCUUUGUCUGGAACUAGCAGCAAUGCUAAUGCGAGUAUCUUGAGUGGUGUUGGCAAUGGUACGAGUGCUUCCUCUAGUGUCAUUAACAAUGUUACUAAUCCAACUGCAGGAAUGGCAGUGGGAUCAAGCCAGCAGCAGCCUGCAUCUGGCACGUCAAGGUUUAGGGUUGUAAAAUUAGAUUCUAGUUCUGAACCUUUCAAAAAAGGUAGAUGGACUUGCACUGAAUUCUAUGAUAAAGAAAAUACUGUUGCAGUUUCGGAGGGAGUAGCAGUAAACAAAGCAGUAGAGACGAUAAAACAAAACCCGCUUGAAGUGACUUCUGAAAGGGAGAGCACCAGUGGGAGUUCUGUUAGCAGCAAUGUAAGCACACUGAGUCACUAUACAGAAAGUGUGGGAAGUGGAGAAAUGGGAGCACCUACUGUGGUACAGCAGCAAGCAUUUCAAGGUGUGGGUCCGCAGCAGAUGGAUUUUAGCAGUACUGCUCCUCCAGCAAUUCCAGCAUCUAGUAUACCACAGAGUGUUUCUCAAUCACAGCUUGCACAAGUCCAGCUGCAUUCUCAAGAGGUAAAUUAUCCACAGCAGAAGCCAGGGGUCCAACCUCCUGCACAGGCCAGUCUAACCACUGUUACUGGGGUUCAGCCAGCCCCAGUUAAUAUACUAGGUGUAUCCCCAUCUCUGGGCCACCAGCAACCUGCCCUUCAGAGUAUGGCUCAACAGCAGCUGCCGUAUUCACAGCCAGCACAGCCUGUGCAGACUUUGCCAGUGGUGCAGCAGCAGCAGUUGCAGUAUGGACAACAGCAGCAACAGCAGCCAGUUCCUACGCAGAUGGCCACGGGUCACGUUAAGCCGGUGAACCAAAACUCUGUCACAGGGGCUAUGCCAGACUACAUUCAGCAUCAGCAGAUCCUUCAGACUCCAGCCCCUGCCAUGCAGCCAAGUUCUACAGGAGUGGGAGCUGGACAACCGGUUCCUGUUGCCCAGGCACAGGGCAUGCAGCCUUCAGUGCAAGCACAUCCAGCUGCUGCCCCAGCUCAGCCUGUUGCCCAUGCUCCAGCAGCAAUACCAGGUGUAGCUGCCAGUGGUCAGAUACUAAAUGUUGGGCAGCAAGGAACCGUAGCUGCUGUGGUGCAACCACCAUCUGCUUCAAACCAAAUUCCACCUCCAGUUAUGCCAUCAACUGCUGCUCCUCCAUCUUCCCAAAUAGUGCAGCCUGUGCAGACAGGAAUAAUGCAGCAGGGAUUACAGGCCGGUGCUACAGGCCUUCCUCAGCAAAUGGUCAUUGCUCAGCAAAACACCUUGUUACCUGUACAGCCACAGGCACAAGGAGUGGAAUCUGUAGUUCAAGGGAUGACUGGCCAGCAGCUGCCUGCGGUAAGCCCUAUACCCUCUGCUAGUACUGUUCCUGCACCAAGUCAAACUGGUUCAGCUGUGCCUCCUGGCAUACCUUCUGCUUCUGUAGGUUUGGGACAGCCACAGAAUAUAGCACAGGCUUCGGCUGUGCAGAAUGGCAAUUUGGCUCAAAGCGUUAGUCAGCCUCCCUUGAUAUCAACAAGUAUAGGUAUGCCAGUGGCACAGAGUGUGCCACAGCAGAUGCCACUAAGCUCUACCCAGUUCCCUGCACAAUCACUAGCUCAGUCCAUUGUAAGCCAAAUCGAAGAUGGCAGACGCCCUACAGAACCUUCCUUGGUGGGUUUACCUCAAGCUGCCAGCGUCGAGAGUGGUGGUGGAGCAUCGGCCGCUUCAGAUGGCGGUAGCAGCAGCAUGCCAUCCUCGGCAUCCCUCUUUCCGCUGAAGGUGCUGCCGUUGACAACGCCUCUUGUAGAUGGUGAGGAUGAGAGAUACAGAAUGACAGUCAAACACUGCACACUGGUAUGCCUGUGAAGAGGCACUGCCAAAGUUAAUUGUGUCUAGUGCAAAAGCUUGGAGUUCUGGCUGAUCAAAGCAGGUGUGUGCUCUAGAGGAGAGGAUGAAGAAACACCACCAAUUGACCCAAAAUGAAUUAAGUGAAAUUGAUCAAACAUGAUGAGUAAUGUACCUUCUUGGUUAACUGUUGGAUCAUGCUCUACCUGAUGUCUUAAGAGCAAAGAAGAGCCCUGCAGCUGCCCACAAAAGUAAAGAACCAGUGUGAGAGUUUGAAGAAAGAAUCCGCUCAGAGGACUGAGUCUCAAGCAAAAGCUCCAGGUUGCAGACUCAGAAAGAAACUUCCUUUGGGGAAGGAUCUGCUUCCAGGAUUUGCUCGUCUCUUUUUCCUUGGGCAAACAGUUCUUGAAGCAAACAACAGGGUUGCAGGACACCUUCUAACCUUUAUACUGCAUCACAAGCCUUCAGCAGAAGAUCUUAUGGUGCUGGAAGAUGACUGGGUUUGGAUCUUGGCCUUCCCUAAGCAGGAUCUUCUGACAAAAAAUGGGAUUGGGAAAGAAAUGACUCCUCUUUCCAUCACACAGAACCACCCUAGAAAUGGAGGCCUAGGCAGAAAAUUACUUCUAAUGCAUCGUUCUUUAGGAAAUGUUUGGCCUCCCAUGGUCCUUUUGUUACAAUGUCGUAUAGAUGUCUUUUAUAAAAUCUAAACCUGGCAUCUUCCUAUCUGAAGAUCAAGUCAAUAAAUCCAAGAUUAAGAGUUUACAGGUCUAAUAAUGUGGUCGUAUGUUGCUGUCCCUUGCAUAGGAGAUGCCACGUGAAUCUGUGAAACAGGGUUCUGCUGUGGUUCAGACUGUUCUAUUUGUAAAGCCUUUUCUACUUAUAUUAAAAUGAUUAGAAAUAAUAUUAAUAAAGGUUCUUAUGAAAAUGGUAUUUAGACUUCUACCUUUCCAGGUUUACUUAAAAAUAAAUCUGAGCCAAAAUGUCACAGUGGGCAAUAUGGGAAGUACUGCAUCUUUUGAGGUUUCCUGUGGCUUUGUGUCACAAAAAAGUAUGUUGGAACUGUUGAGAGCUAUAAAAGUGGAAAUCUUAGAUUUUUUUUUUUUUUUUUUGAGUGAGAAGUUGUUUGUUAGAAAGCAGAAAGCUUUUGUUUUCCCCCCAAGGGAUUCUGUAGUCAAUUAAAUGUCUUGCAAGAUCUCAAAUAAAAACCUUAUGUUUGACAGUAGUGAGCAGCACACGCAUACGUGUGUACUUGUGUUGUUCUUGCUAUAGGAGAUUAGUUUGGAAGAAUGGGACUUACUUCUAAUGUUCAGAUUAGGAAAGGGGAAAGUUUUGUUCUGAAGUUAAGUGUGAGAAUAGGGGGCAGAAGGGUGUACCAGACCCUCUGGCACUAGGUGAAGAGUCAGUUUUACUGUUUUCUGCUUCUGGCAGCUGAAGUAAACUAGCCAGAUGCUUGUACUUGUAUCCAAUUAAUUUCUUAAAUCAGUUACACAAAACAUUGUUUUUUAACUAAUGCCUAGAUCUUUUGUUAAAUUCACCAGCUUAUUUAAAUUAUUCAAUAGUCUUAACCUAGCCCUGAGGCUACUGCUUCAUGGCAGUUGUGACUUUUUACUAUGCUGGAAUGCAUUGCAGUCCUAGUACAUUCUAAAAAUAAUUGUUCAGAUGGUGCCGUUUAAGUACAUACUUAUGUAGUGAGCCAUUUUCACUGGACUUUCUGAGAAAUUGGCUUUCUGUUGGAUGGCUUUUUAAUAUCUUAUUUUGCUGUGAGUAUCAAACUUGUUUGUCUUGCUGCUUCUAUGGUUAUUGAGUAAAGUGCUGAAUUUAUAACCUGAUACAUUUAGAGAACUGAUAGUCAGAUGUGUGUGUUAAGCUAUGCAACCACAAUAACACUUGUGAAUUUUGAAGUUUAAAAAGAAAUCAGUUUAACUCUAAUGUAUCAAAUUCAAUCCUAUAUGGGGGAAUACAUAUGUGAUGAACUUAAAAUUGAGUAGUUGUUACAGGUGUAGACAUGAAUUGUAUACUGAACAGAAGUAAUUUAGAUGUUAAGAGCUGGAGAUAUGUGGGUCUCAGAAAUGAAUUAUAACAUCUGUGACUAGAGUUUUGUGCCAGCAGUGCUUUUAGUUGAAAAUACCUGUUUGUUUAACUUCUAGUCCAUUUAAGGUCUGAUACCCUUUGUGCCUUAAUAGGUAUACUUACACUUGCCUCAGCCACAGUUUUUGGUCAUUUUGUUCUGUAGUAGGUAAAUUUAGGACUGUCAAAUACUUACAAAACAGGCACUGAGAGCUAUUUAUGUUACUGUCUCGGUUCCUAAAAUGGGUUUACACCUCCCCAUCACAAUUAGGAAACAAAACCACCAAAACAAAAGCAAAAACCAAACAAAAAAGCCUGUUGCAAUUCUGCAGUCAGUAUUUUGAUACUUCUUGUCUAUCACCGUUGUGUUAGCAUGUUUCUGUCAUGCUCCGAGUUUUACAGCUGGACUCCUGGGUUCUUGAUACCUCAUUAGAACAAUAACUCCUGCCUUUGUGUUAUUAAAUAAUAAAGAUAUCUGAAACAA
This is an RNA transcript of Corvus hawaiiensis (hawaiian crow), 5431 nucleotides long. It is a transcript of the gene named TSC22 domain family member 1, with no coding region annotated. The transcript is spliced from 5 exons. The record is from RefSeq and is a predicted model, not a curated record. Lineage: Eukaryota; Metazoa; Chordata; Aves; Passeriformes; Corvidae.